RNAcentral lists this unclassified non-coding RNA (165 nucleotides) under uncultured Eurotiales. RNAcentral describes it as "sequence contains ITS2". Lineage: Eukaryota; Fungi; Ascomycota; Eurotiomycetes; Eurotiales. The record is from RNAcentral.
CUGCCCUCAAGCCCGGCUUGUGUGUUGGGCCCCGUCCCCCGAUCCCGGGGGACGGGCCCGAAAGGCAGCGGCGGCACCGCGUCCGGUCCUCGAGCGUAUGGGGCUUUGUCACCCGCUCCGUAGGCCCGGCCGGCGCCUGCCGAUCAACCCCAAAUUUUUAAUCCA